GGAAGGAUCAUUACAAAAUAAAAAGCUCCCCCCGCCGGCGACUGCCGGAAGAGGGGGGCUUAACGGUGAGGGGGUUUAUGCCCCCGAACUGUUGGACCCUUUGUGAAAACCCUCCGUUGCCUCGGCGGCACUCCCUGCCGCGCGGCGCUCUUCUGCGCUGCGCUGGGGGGGAAGGUCAGUCCGCCGGCGGCACCCAACCAAAACCCAUGACCAUUUUGAAGAAGCUGUCUGAAACCUAAAGUCGAAUGACUAUAAAACUUUCAACAACGGAUCUCUUGGUUCCCGCAUCGAUGAAGAACGCAGCGAAACGCGAUAGUUAAUGUGAAUUGCAGAAUUCAGUGAAUCAUCGAGUCUUUGAACGCACAUUGCGCCUUUUGGUAUUCCGAGAGGCACGCCUGUCUGAGCGUCAGUUAAACCACUUCGGUAGUAUCCAAUUACCGGUGUUGGCGGCGGGUGGUCCCACCGUGGAUCCCCCCGCUUAAACCUGGCGUGGGGUAAGCUAGCCAGCAAAACCGCAAAUAGUAGAAUUUCCUUCUUUUGCGCAACCCUGGCCCGGCCCCCCCUUCAAAGUAAACCCCAUCUCUUUGACCUCAGAUCAGACGAGGAUACCCGCUGAACUUAAGCAUAUCAAUAAGCGGAGGAAAAGAAACCAACAGGGAUUGCCUCAGUAGCGGCGAGUGAAGCGGCAAAAGCUCAGAUUUGAAAUCAGGUGUGUUUUUCGCGCCCGAGUUGUAAUCUGGAGAGGAUGCUCCGGCGAAGCCGGCCGCCCAAGUUCCUUGGAACAGGACGUCUCAGAGGGUGAGAACCCCGUACCCGGCGGCAUGGUCAGCCAUGUGGAGCUCCCUCGACGAGUCGAGUUGUUUGGGAAUGCAGCUCAAACUGGGUGGUAAAUUCCAUCUAAAGCUAAAUAUUGGCGGGAGACCGAUAGCGCACAAGUAGAGUGAUCGAAAGAUGAAAAGCACUUUGAAAAGAGAGUUAAAAAGUACGUGAAAUUGUUGAAAGGGAAGCGCUUGCCAUCAGAACGGGCGCCGGUCGAUCAACGUUCCUUCUGGUUCGUGCACUCGGCCGGCUGCCCUGCCAGCAUCGGUCGCCGCGGCGGGAGAAAGGCGGCGGGAAAGUGGCUCCCCUCGGGGAGUGUUAUAGCCCGCCGUGCCAUACCGCCAGCUGACGACCGAGGACCGCGCUUCGUGCAAGGAUGCUGGCCUAAUGGUUGUAAGCGACCCGUCUUGAAACACGGACCAAGGAGUCUAACAUCCACGCGAGUGUUCGGGUGUCAAACCCGCGCGCGCAAUGAAAGUGAACGGAGGCGGGAGCCUUCACCGGUGCACCGUCGACCGAUCCUGAUGUCCUCGGAUGGAUUUGAGUAGGAGCGUGGCUGUUGGGACCCGAAAGAUGGUGAACUAUGCCUGAAUAGGGUGAAGCCAGAGGAAACUCUGGUGGAGGCUCGCAGCGGUUCUGACGUGCAAAUCGAUCGUCAAAUUUGGGUAUAGGGGCGAAAGACUAAUCGAACCAUCUAGUAGCUGGUUCCUGC
RNAcentral lists this unclassified non-coding RNA (1531 nucleotides) under uncultured fungus. RNAcentral describes it as "sequence contains 18S rRNA gene, ITS1, 5.8S rRNA gene, ITS2, 28S rRNA gene". The stretch from base 586 to 1531 matches the Rfam family "Eukaryotic large subunit ribosomal RNA", at positions 1 to 961 of the family's 3401-position model. The record is from RNAcentral. Lineage: Eukaryota; Fungi.